CUGUGAUGAAAGGAUGUUGAGAACUGUUACCUAUUAAUUGUAUUAUUAUGUGGCGGCUGUGGCUGUGGGCUUUUGUCACUAACUGCGCCGCUGGUUUUGCUUUGGAUUGCACUGAGCGACAAUAAAAGUGGACUGAUCUGACGUGCUGUUUGAUGGAAUUGUUCCCUCAUGUGAUGUUUUUAUGCUUUCUUUACGUAAUAUUCUUCCUCUUUUAAUUUCUCUACAUAUUUUUAUAUCAUUUUUACUCUUUUUCCUCCACU
This 260-nucleotide long non-coding RNA is filed under the name Sorghum bicolor (sorghum). RNAcentral describes it as "long non-coding RNA (SBIC_LNC013158)". Lineage: Eukaryota; Viridiplantae; Streptophyta; Magnoliopsida; Poales; Poaceae. The record is from RNAcentral.